AGAGUUUGAUCAUGGCUCAGAUUGAACGCUGGCGGCAGGCCUAACACAUGCAAGUCGAGCGGUAGCACAGAGAGCUUGCUCUCGGGUGACGAGCGGCGGACGGGUGAGUAAUGUCUGGGAAACUGCCUGAUGGAGGGGAUAACUACUGGAAACGGUAGCUAAUACCGCAUAACGUCGCAAGACCAAAGUGGGGGACCUUCGGGCCUCAUGCCAUCAGAUGUGCCCAGAUGGGAUUAGCUAGUAGGUGAGGUAACGGCUCACCUAGGCGACGAUCCCUAGCUGGUCUGAGAGGAUGACCAGCCACACUGGAACUGAGACACGGUCCAGACUCCUACGGGAGGCAGCAGUGGGGAAUAUUGCACAAUGGGCGCAAGCCUGAUGCAGCCAUGCCGCGUGUGUGAAGAAGGCCUUCGGGUUGUAAAGCACUUUCAGCGGGGAGGAAGGCGUUAAGGUUAAUAACCUUGGCGAUUGACGUUACCCGCAGAAGAAGCACCGGCUAACUCCGUGCCAGCAGCCGCGGUAAUACGGAGGGUGCAAGCGUUAAUCGGAAUUACUGGGCGUAAAGCGCACGCAGGCGGUCUGUCAAGUCGGAUGUGAAAUCCCCGGGCUUAACCUGGGAACUGCAUUCGAAACUGGCAGGCUAGAGUCUUGUAGAGGGGGGGUAGAAUUCCGGUGUAGCGGUGAAAUGCGUAGAGAUCUGGAGGAAUACCGGUGGCGAAGGCGGCCCCCCUGGACAAAGACUGACGCUCAGGUGCGAAAGCGUGGGGAGCAAACAGGAUUAGAUACCGGUAGUCCACGCCGUAAACGAUGUCGAUUUGGAGGUUGUGCCCUUGAGGCGUGGCUUCCGGAGCUAACGCGUUAAAUCGACCGCCUGGGGAGUACGGCCGCAAGGUUAAAACUCAAAUGAAUUGACGGGGCCCGCACAAGCGGUGGAGCAUGUGGUUUAAUUCGAUGCAACGCGAAGAACCUUACCUGGUCUUGACAUCCACAGAACUUAGCAGAGAUGCUUUGGUGCCUUCGGGAACUGUGAGACAGGUGCUGCAUGGCUGUCGUCAGCUCGUGUUGUGAAAUGUUGGGUUAAGUCCCGCAACGAGCGCAACCCUUAUCCUUUGUUGCCAGCGGUCCGGCCGGGAACUCAAAGGAGACUGCCAGUGAUAAACUGGAGGAAGGUGGGGAUGACGUCAAGUCAUCAUGGCCCUUACGACCAGGGCUACACACGUGCUACAAUGGCAUAUACAAAGAGAAGCGACCUCGCGAGAGCAAGCGGACCUCAUAAAGUAUGUCGUAGUCCGGAUUGAGUCUGCAACUCGACUCCAUGAAGUCGGAAUCGCUAGUAAUCGUAGAUCAGAAUGCUACGGUGAAUACGUUCCCGGGCCUUGUACACACCGCCCGUCACACCAUGGGAGUGGGUUGCAAAAGAAGUAGGUAGCUUAACCUUCGGGAGGGCGCUUACCACUUUGUGAUUCAUGACUGGGGUGAAGUCGUAACAAGGUAACCGUAGGGGAACCUGCGGUUG
Molecule: ribosomal RNA, 1516 nt
Filed under: Klebsiella pneumoniae subsp. pneumoniae
Lineage: Bacteria; Pseudomonadati; Pseudomonadota; Gammaproteobacteria; Enterobacterales; Enterobacteriaceae
Description: bacterial SSU rRNA
Rfam family: Bacterial small subunit ribosomal RNA
Source: RNAcentral